UACGUAGGGGGCAAGCGUUGUCCGGAAUCAUUGGGCGUAAAGAGCGCGUAGGCGGCCCAGUAAGUCCGCUCUGAAAGUCAGGGGCUCAACCCCUGAAUGCGGGUGGAUACUGCUGGGCUAGAGUCCGGAAGAGGCGAGUGGAAUUCCUGGUGUAGCGGUGAAAUGCGCAGAUAUCAGGAAGAACACCCGUGGCGAAAGCGGCUCUCUGGAACGGUACUGACGCUGAGACGCGAAAGCGUGGGGAGCGAACAGG
RNAcentral lists this ribosomal RNA (253 nucleotides) under uncultured bacterium. Its description in RNAcentral is "partial 16S ribosomal RNA". It matches the Rfam family "Bacterial small subunit ribosomal RNA", at positions 524 to 776 of the family's 1533-position model. The record is from RNAcentral.